This 1856-nucleotide ribosomal RNA is filed under the name human gut metagenome. RNAcentral's name for it is "bacterial LSU rRNA". It matches the Rfam family "Bacterial large subunit ribosomal RNA", at positions 1081 to 2925 of the family's 2925-position model. The record is from RNAcentral.
UUUCAUAAACAACCAGGAUGUUGGCUCAGAAGCAGCCACCAUUUAAAGAGUGCGUAAUAGCUCACUGGUCGAGAGACGCUGCGCCGAAAAUGUCCGGGGCUCAAGCACGGAACCGAAGCUAUGGCAUUGCGCAAGCAAUGGGUAGGGGAGCGUUCUUAUGGGGAAGAAGCAUUACCGUAAGGAGAUGUGGACACAUAAGAAGUGAGAAUGCCGGUAUGAGUAUCGAAAAGAAAGGUGAGAAUCCUUUCCACCGAAAGCCCGAGGGUUCCUGAGCAACGAUCGUCGUCUCAGGGUAAGUCGGGACCUAAGCCGAGGCACAGACGCAUAGGCGAUGGACAACAGGUUGAAAUUCCUGUACCGGAUGGAGUCAUUUGAGCAAUGGAGUGACGCAGGAGGGCACAUGAUCGCGCGACUGGAAGAGCGCGUCCAAGUGCGUAUGUUGAAUCGGAGGCAAAUCCCCGAUUCUGAAAGCAGAGACAUGAUGGGGAGUUAUAAGCGAUUAUGACGAACUCAUGGAUCCCACACUGCCAAGAAAAACUUCUAGCGAGACGAAAUCCGCCCGUACCGUAAACCGACACAGGUAGGCGGGGAGAGAAUCCUAAGGUGCGCGGGAAAACCCUCGUUAAGGAACUCGGCAAAUUGCAUCCGUAACUUCGGGAGAAGGAUGGCCCUGAGUAGGCGAAGUGCAGAAACGCACGGAACAGAAAAGGGUGGCAGAAAAGAGGCCCAAGCAACUGUUUACCAAAAACACAGGUGCCUGCGAAAGCGAAAGCUGAAGUAUAGGUGCUGACGCCUGCCCGGUGCUGGAAGGUUAAGGAGAGAGGUUAGCGCAAGCGAAGCUUUGAACUGAAGCCCCAGUGAACGGCGGCCGUAACUAUAACGGUCCUAAGGUAGCGAAAUUCCUUGUCGGGUAAGUUCCGACCCGCAUGAAAGGCGUAAUGAUUUGGGCGCUGUCUCAACGAGGGGCCCGGUGAAAUUGAAAUACCUGUGAAGAUGCAGGUUACCCGCGACUGGACAGAAAGACCCCAUGGAGCUUUACUGCAGCUUGAGAUUGAAUCCCGGUGGCAGACGCACAGGAUAGGUGGGAGGCUUUGAGAUAGUGACUUUGGUUGCUAUGGAGCCGACGUUGGGAUACCACCCUUCUGUUGCUGGGAUUCUAACGCGAAGAUUAACAACCUUGCGGACCAUCUCAGGUAGGCGGUUUGACUGGGGCGGUCGCCUCCGAAAGAGUAACGGAGGCGCCCAAAGGUUCCCUCAGGCCGGACAGAAACCGGCCGAAGAGUGCAAAGGCAGAAGGGAGCUUGACUGCGAGACAGACAAGUCGAGCAGAGACGAAAGUCGGGCUUAGUGAUCCGGUGGUACUGCGUGGAAAGGCCAUCGCUCAACGGAUAAAAGCUACCCUGGGGAUAACAGGCUAAUCUCUCCCAAGAGUUCAUAUCGACGGGGAGGUUUGGCACCUCGAUGUCGGCUCAUCACAUCCUGGAGCUGGAGUAGGUUCCAAGGGUUGGGCUGUUCGCCCAUUAAAGUGGUACGCGAGCUGGGUUCAAAACGUCGUGAGACAGUUUGGUUCAUAUCCAUCGCGGGCGCAAGAAGUUUGAGGGAGGCUGCUCCUAGUACGAGAGGACCGGAGUGGACGGAUCAACGGUGUACCAGUUGUCACGCCAGUGGCACGGCUGGAAAGCCGCAUCCGGAAAGGAUAAACGCUGAAAGCAUCUAAGCGUGAAGCCCGUCCCAAGAUGAGACUUCUCAUCAGCAAUGAGUAAGACCCCUUAAAGACGAUGAGGUUGAUAGGCUGUGAGUGGAAGAGCCGCGAGGCUUGGAGCGACGCAGUACUAAUAGGUCGAGGUCUUAACUUA